Non-coding RNA from Pelobates cultripes (western spadefoot toad), 225 nucleotides. The record is from the annotation of a GenBank genome assembly. Lineage: Eukaryota; Metazoa; Chordata; Amphibia; Anura; Pelobatidae.
AGGUGAUCCUGAAUAUCCUGUGUGCUGAUUGGUCUGAGGAAUAUUGGAGGGGUUAUACUGUAUGGGAGGGGAUAUGCAGUUAACAAAAGUCCCAAGCACCAGGUAUUUGUCUCUCAGAAUUUUGGAACAGGAGUUCAUCUGAGACCCGAUCGGUAAUGUGAAUAAAGGCCUCUUACUUCCUGAAGACUUGUGUCCAUAUCUCUGUGUUUGGCUUCUGCAUGCUGU